UACGAAGGGUGCAAGCGUUACUCGGAAUUACUGGGCGUAAAGCAUGCGUAGGCGGUUUGUUAAGUCUGUCGUGAAAGCCCCGGGCUCAACCUGGGAAUGGCGAUGGAAACUGGCGAGCUAGAGUACGGUAGAGGAGAGUGGAAUUCCCGGUGUAGCAGUGAAAUGCGUAGAGAUCGGGAGGAACAUCAGUUGCGAAGGCGGCUCUCUGGACCAGUACUGACGCUGAGGCACGAAAGCGUGGGGAGCAAACAGG
This 253-nucleotide ribosomal RNA is filed under the name uncultured bacterium. RNAcentral describes it as "partial 16S ribosomal RNA". It matches the Rfam family "Bacterial small subunit ribosomal RNA", at positions 524 to 776 of the family's 1533-position model. The record is from RNAcentral.